This 253-nucleotide ribosomal RNA is filed under the name uncultured bacterium. RNAcentral's name for it is "partial 16S ribosomal RNA". It matches the Rfam family "Bacterial small subunit ribosomal RNA", at positions 524 to 776 of the family's 1533-position model. The record is from RNAcentral.
UACGAAGGGGGCUAGCGUUGUUCGGAAUUACUGGGCGUAAAGCGCGCGCAGGCGGUUCUUUAAGUCAGGGGUGAAAGCCCAGAGCUCAACCCUGGAAUUGCCUUUGAAACUAGAGAACUUGGGUACGGGAGAGGUGAGUGGAAUUCCGAGUGUAGAGGUGAAAUUCGUAGAUAUUCGGAAGAACACCAGUGGCGAAGGCGGCUCACUGGCCCGUUACCGACGCUCAGGCGCGACAGCGUGGGGAGCAAACAGG